CACCCGGUUACAGUAAUUUGUGUAAUGUUGGACAUACCAUGAAACAACACGACAUUGAUCUUUUAAUAUUGUUUAGUACACCACAGUUCUUUCAAUUGAAAAUUAAUUCAUAUUUGUGUGUGUUUUCUUACUGUUUAGCACAAGUGUGUUCCGCGCAAGUUUGAAUUUCUCUCAGUAAGGACUGACGGACGGCCAUUCACUCAUAAAACCUUUUAAAGCACAAGUGUUUCCCGCGCAAAUUAGAAUUUCUCUCAGUAAGGACUGACGGAUGGCCAUUCACUCAUAAAACCUUUUAAAGGUUAGCACGAAUGCAUCCAGCAUAAUUUUGGAUCUUUACCAUUGAGGAGACUGGCUGACUGUUCUCAACCAACCAUCAUUCACACGCAAAAACUUUAAAGUUAAGUAUGAACGUGUCUAGAGCAGUUUUGGAUCUUUACCAUUGAGGAGGUUGACUGACUUUCAUCUACCAACUGUCAUUAACACAACAAAAACUAAAGAAAUGUUACUACAAGUGGACCUAUUCAGUUAGUCAUUAUGCUGUGAGUACACCACAAUUUUAUCAGUGAAACAAUAAUGUUUGUUUUUUCUCAAUGCUUGGCAUAGACAAAUGUGACCCUGUGUAAUUUGGAAAUUUCAUGGGAAAUGUGUACGUCUUAAAAAUGUUUAAAUGUCGUUUGAGUUAAGGAACAGUACACUGAUUUAUUAAAA
Long non-coding RNA from Paramisgurnus dabryanus, 708 nucleotides. RefSeq lists it as uncharacterized. NCBI's taxonomy places the organism in Eukaryota, Metazoa, Chordata, Actinopteri, Cypriniformes, Cobitidae. The record is from RefSeq and is a predicted model, not a curated record.